GUGUGAGAGAAAAAGUAAAUAACUGAAUUGCAUACAUACUAUAUCCUGCCUGUUUCCUUUUUGAUACAUCAUAGGGUCCCCCCACUCCUUUUUAUAGAGGAGGUACAGAUUCUCCUUGGACAAACCUAAUCAAAACUUCAGCUAGCAGAUUACUAAACUUUGCUUAAUGAAGUGCCACCCAGACAUGCCUGUGUUUUCACGUCCUGGCUGAGUUCAGCGAACUGUUUAUUAAUAGACUUGGCUUAUCCCGUCCUGACCCCAAGACACUGAGGCCUCUGUCUGAACCAGGCUCAUGAGUUUCUCCCUAGCCUCUCUCAGGAACCGGAGUACUUCUGGUAAAGAAGUUUGUGCUCUUUCAUGGAACUUCCAUUUACCAACCUGGAAAUGGCAUUCAUUUUAUUAGCUUUUGUUAUCUUUUCUUUCUUUACCCUGGCUUCCAUCUACACUAAUCCCAAUGAGAGGAAUGAAGCUUCUACCAGAUUUUUCCGAAGCCAACAGCGGAUAUAUUAACCUAUUCCAAAGAGAUAGUCACACUUAUCAUCCCACAAACUGCUCUUUUCAAGGUAAACGAUGACCUUCACACUACUUUGUGCAGUAAAAUACAUACACAAAUAUUGUUCUACA
Molecule: long non-coding RNA, 624 nt
Filed under: Capra hircus (goat)
Lineage: Eukaryota; Metazoa; Chordata; Mammalia; Artiodactyla; Bovidae
Description: lncRNA (ENSCHIG00000007215.1)
Source: RNAcentral